This 239-nucleotide ribosomal RNA is filed under the name uncultured bacterium. RNAcentral describes it as "partial 16S ribosomal RNA". It matches the Rfam family "Bacterial small subunit ribosomal RNA", at positions 103 to 334 of the family's 1533-position model. The record is from RNAcentral.
AGCGGCGGCGGGUGAGUAACGCGUGGGUAACCUGCCUCAUACAGGGGGAUAACAGUUGGAAACGGCUGCUAAUACCGCAUAAGCGCACAGUACCGCAUGGUACGGUGUGAAAAACUCCGGUGGUAUGAGAUGGACCCGCGUCUGAUUAGGUAGUUGGUGGGGUAACGGCCUACCAAGCCGACGAUCAGUAGCCGACCUGAGAGGGUGACCGGCCACAUUGGGACUGAGACACGGCCCAA